CCAGUCCUGACUGCAUGCACACGCUG
RNAcentral lists this non-coding RNA (26 nucleotides) under Cricetulus griseus (Chinese hamster). The record is from RNAcentral. Lineage: Eukaryota; Metazoa; Chordata; Mammalia; Rodentia; Cricetidae.